This 1111-nucleotide long non-coding RNA is filed under the name Mytilus galloprovincialis (Mediterranean mussel). The record is from RNAcentral. Lineage: Eukaryota; Metazoa; Mollusca; Bivalvia; Mytilida; Mytilidae.
UCACUAUGAAUCAAAAAUUCAAAACAGAGGACUUUUAUAUAUCAACAAAAACACUUGCAGAACAUGCACAUAUAUGGUAUACAUACAGCAAGAAAACAGUAAUCAAAUGGAAUGUCAAAGACGAGUAAUGCUGAAAGCAAAAUUAUGUUGUUUAAAAUAGAAAACAAUAUGACUAGAAUAUAUUUAAGGUAAGUAAUCCAAAUGUGUCUGGUCAGGGUAACAUCAGUGGGUUAUUUACAAUGCGGUAUGAUUUCAAUCCCACAAAUAUGAAACAAAACAUGAUAGACAUUAUGAAUUAACACUAUUUUGAUAAGGAAAUUGACUGAAAAUAUUUUACAUUUAACAGUCAGAUAAGAAAAUUGCCAAUGGAAUAAUUUUGGAAUGGAAGUUAAAAUUUAUAGUUUAUAGGUUCAAGAAUUAUACACAGACUUAAAGGCCAAAUGGUAUACUUUUAAUAGUUUAAAGAUUUUAUACUACAUGUAUUAUCUAUUCUGUAUAAUUUCAAGAUAGUUUCAUUUGGAUUUAAAACCUAAUUUCAAGAAUGAAGGGUACAGUAAUUUAAAAUUAAUUUAUAAAGAUAAAAAACAAUAUAAGGGAAUUAACUCUUACAAGAUGUGCAUCAUAUCCAUGAGAAUAUCAAAAGUGUUUUUUAAUAAACUUUACCAUUUUUUUCAGAUAAGAGAAUUAAGCAGACCAUAUUUGGGUCAAAGAUGCCCAUAACAAUGAAAUAUAAUAUAUUAAAUUAUCAUUCAUCAUUACUUUUCAAUUGAAUCAACAAACUUUAUUUAAUAACAAAAUUUUUUUUUUAUUUUCAGUACACAACACAUCCUGUCAGAAGAAUAAUUUUACUGGAGGAUUAAAAUUUUGAUACCUGGAAUCAGCAAUGUAUAUGAAAUUUGUUAUGAGAGAUAUAUUCAUGUACAGAAUGGUAACCGAGGUGCUUCAAGUGUUUAUUAGCAGACAUUUUUGUUGAAUUUAUGCAGAAUGGAAUAAAUGAAACUUAAGCUGACUAUGGGCUCAAUGUGUAGUAAAAAGAGGAUUUUGAAAUAUGCAAGACUCAUCAACAUUAAAAUGUGCAUAAGUGAAAUGUCACCAUAUUUAGUAAAAAAAA